This 176-nucleotide ribosomal RNA is filed under the name uncultured bacterium. RNAcentral's name for it is "partial 16S ribosomal RNA". It matches the Rfam family "Bacterial small subunit ribosomal RNA", at positions 335 to 526 of the family's 1533-position model. The record is from RNAcentral.
ACUCCUACGGGAGGCAGCAGUGGGGAAUUUUCCGCAAUGGGCGAAAGCCUGACGGAGCAACGCCGCGUGAGGGAUGAAGGCCUCUGGGCUGUAAACCUCUUUUCUCAAGGAAGAAGAUCUGACGGUACUUGAGGAAUAAGCCACGGCUAACUCCGUGCCAGCAGCCGCGGUAAUAC